AACGAACGCUGGCGGCAGGCUUAACACAUGCAAGUCGAACGAUAUAGUGGCAGACGGGUGAGUAACGCGUGGAAACGUGCCUUUCACUACGGAAUAGCCCUGGGAAACCGGGAGUAAUACCGUAUACGCCCUCCGGGGGAAAGAUUUAUCGGUGAAAGAUCGGUCCGCGUUAGAUUAGCUAGUUGGUAGGGUAAUGGCCUACCAAGGCGACGAUCUAUAGCUGGUCUGAGAGGAUGAUCAGCCACACUGGAACUGAGACACGGUCCAGACUCCUACGGGAGGCAGCAGUGGGGAAUCUUGCACAAUGGGCGAAAGCCUGAUGCAGCCAUGCCGCGUGAAUGAUGAAGGCCCUAGGGUUGUAAAAUUCUUUCGCUUGGGAUGAUAAUGACAGUACCAAGUAAAGAAGCACCGGCUAACUUCG
This 421-nucleotide ribosomal RNA is filed under the name uncultured Hyphomonadaceae bacterium. RNAcentral's name for it is "bacterial SSU rRNA". It matches the Rfam family "Bacterial small subunit ribosomal RNA", at positions 29 to 505 of the family's 1533-position model. The record is from RNAcentral. Lineage: Bacteria; Pseudomonadati; Pseudomonadota; Alphaproteobacteria; Hyphomonadales; Hyphomonadaceae.